UUUGACUAAUAUAAAAGGUAACGCCUGCCCAGUGACUGCUCGUUAAACGGCCGCGGUACUCUGACCGUGCAAAGGUAGCGUAAUCACUUGUCUUUUAAAUAAAGACUAGUAUGAAUGGCAUCACGAGAACUAAUCUGUCUCCCUCCCCCAAUCAGUGAAACUGAUCUCCCCGUGCAGAAGCGGGGAUAAUACCAUAAGACGAGAAGACCCUGUGGAGCUUUAAAUCAAAAAUCAACUGCUAUACCUUACCCCUGAGGACACACUUCUAUAGACUUGACUUAGAUUUUUAGCUGGGGCGGCUGUGGAGAAAAGAGAAUCCUCCACGAAAUUCUACUCCAAGGGCUACUGCCCUAAGUAAUAAUAAAUUAAUUUAAUUGACCCAAUUUUUGAUCAACGAACCA
Molecule: ribosomal RNA, 401 nt
Filed under: Leptobrachella bourreti (Bourret's Asian toad)
Lineage: Eukaryota; Metazoa; Chordata; Amphibia; Anura; Megophryidae
Description: partial 16S ribosomal RNA
Rfam family: Bacterial large subunit ribosomal RNA
Source: RNAcentral